GUUGUAGAGGUAACCGCCUCAACGCGAGAUCUGCGACAAUUGAGGAACUGUCGUGUAUUUUUAUCUGCAACAGUUGAACAACAACCCUUAGCCCUUCAUCAUGUAAUUACCUAUUUCAGAACCCCCUUCACUUUAUUCACUCGUCUUAUUUCAUUCGCGCUCCUCUAGUUUUUGUGAAAUUGGAAUAGGCGCACGAAGCAGCUUUAAUCAUCUCCUCGUUUGAGAACUCAUUCCCUUUUUUUUCCAAUCAUCUCCUCAUUGUAGAAGCAGUUUCUCUCCGGCACUCACGUCGUUUACUCUCUCUUACAUCACUUUCCGCAUUCAACGUAGAACACAUCUGAGGGAUUCUAUUCAGCCCUGAUGGGCAACCGUUUAAGACAUACAGGGACUUUUCUUCAUACAUGGUUUCUUUGUUCGGUGUUCAAGACGCCAGCCACUGAAAAUCUUGUUACAGCGAUGGUAGAAAGCAGUUCUACAGUAAUAUCAACAUGUCAUAUGAAAAUCAGAAUGUUGGUCGCGUCCCUUUAUGCGACAUUAAAAUUGAUGCCAAUGCAAGUUUUCAUCAUGAGAUGCAUGCCACCAUAUCAUCACCAAUUGGAAUUUGGAACUGAAAAGAAAAUCAAUUCUGAUGGGAAUUUAAAUGAUUUGUUAUUUCUUCUCCCUAAAGAUUGGAUUCCUCCCCUUUGUACCAUUUCAAACCAGAAUCUGCACCCAAUUAAGACACCAAAACUGUUGCAGCAGUAGAUUUUGCGGCUGGGCCUGGGUAUUAUCUUUGUACAACAUGACAUGUAUAAUAGUCAACAAUCAUCUAGCAGUCAACAAUCAUCAUAGGAGAUUUAUGAAUUUACUUGUAGGAGGUAUGUUCUUUACAAGGCAACAAAGAGAUAUUUUACAACAACAACCGAAUGUUGCAAAGGAGAAUUUAAUGGUACAGAGUUGUCCUGCUGUUUGAUGUAUGGUACGGAGCUGUAUUAGUGUUUCCAUGUGUGGUACAUAGUAUAGUAUUGAGAGGUAGAUUUGAGAGAGUUAUUAGUUCUAAAGAUUUAAAUUUUUUUUAUGAUUAAUCCUAUUAAUAAUGGUGCUAAGGACUUGAAGAUUCUGAAGCUUUUUUAUAUAGAUUUAGCGUACAAAAUUACUUUGGCCUAUGAUGUUUAGACCUUGUAUGAAUGAUUAAAUGAAUGGAUAAAUUGUUUAUGUUUUGAA
Vicia villosa (hairy vetch) is the source of this 1203-nucleotide long non-coding RNA. RefSeq lists it as uncharacterized. The record is from RefSeq and is a predicted model, not a curated record. NCBI's taxonomy places the organism in Eukaryota, Viridiplantae, Streptophyta, Magnoliopsida, Fabales, Fabaceae. The transcript has 5 exons.